UGUAUGUCAUACUUCCAAGAAAAGCUUGCACUGUCAUAAGUAAAAAAUGCCUGUACCAUAACCGACACAGGUGGGUAGGUAGAGUAUACUAAGGGGCGCGAGAUAACUCUCUCUAAGGAACUCGGCAAAAUGACUCCGUAACUUCGGGAGAAGGAGUGCCUUAUUUAUAAGGUUGCAAUAACAAGAUCCAAGCAACUGUUUAUCAAAAACACAGGUCUCCGCUAAGUCGUAAGACGAUGUAUGGGGGCUGACGCCUGCCCAGUGCCAGAAGGUUAAAGAAGUUGGUUAGAGUAUGCGAAGCUGAUGACUGAAGCCCUGGUGAACGGCGGCCGUAACAAUAACGGUCCUAAGGUAGCGAAAUUCCUUGUCGGGUAAGUUCCGACCCGCACGAAAGGCGUAAUGAUUUGGAUACUGUCUCGGAGAGAGGCUCGGUGAAAUAGACUUGUCUGUGAAGAUGCGGACUACCUGCACCAGGACAGAAAGACCCUAUGAAGCUUUACUGUAACUUGAAAUUGGAAUUGGACUUUGCUUGCGCAGUAUAGGUGGGAAGCGUUGAAGAUAUUCUUGCGGGAGUAUUGGAGCUAUCAGUGAGAUACCACUCUUGUAAUGUUAGAUUUCUAACUUUGAACCAUAAUCUGGUCAAAGAACAGUUUCAGGUGGGCAGUUUGACUGGGGCGGUCGCCUCCCAAAUGGUAACGGAGGCGUACAAAGGUUUCCUCUGAACGGAUAGAAAUCGUAUCUAGAGUGUAAAGGCAUAAGGAAGCUUGACUGUGAGACCUACAAGUCGAGCAGGGACGAAAGUCGGUCUUAGUGAUCUGACGGUACUGAGUGGAAAGGCCGUCACUCAACGGAUAAAAGUUACUCUAAGGAUAACAGGCUGAUCUCCCCCAAGAGUUCACAUCGACGGGGAGGUUUGGCACCUCGAUGUCGGCUCAUCGCAUCCUGGGGCGGUAGUACGUCCCAAGGGUUGGGCUGUUCGCCCAUGAAAGCGGUACGCGAGCUGGGUUCAGAACGUCGUGAGACAGUUCGGUCCAUAUCCGGUGUAGGCGUUAGAAUAUUGAGAGGAGCCUUCUUUAGUACGAGAGGACCGAGAAGGACACACCGCUGGUGUACCAGUUAUCGUGCCAACGGUAAACGCUGGGUAGCUAUGUGUGGAGUGGAUAACCGCUGAAAGCAUCUAAGUGGGAAGCCCACCUCAAGAUGAGUAUUC
Molecule: ribosomal RNA, 1210 nt
Filed under: metagenome
Description: bacterial LSU rRNA
Rfam family: Bacterial large subunit ribosomal RNA
Source: RNAcentral